This 68-nucleotide transfer RNA is filed under the name Ictidomys tridecemlineatus (thirteen-lined ground squirrel). RNAcentral's name for it is "Spermophilus tridecemlineatus (thirteen-lined ground squirrel) tRNA". It matches the Rfam family "tRNA". From Rfam's summary of the family: Transfer RNA (tRNA) molecules are approximately 80 nucleotides in length. Their secondary structure includes four short double-helical elements and three loops (D, anti-codon, and T loops). The record is from Rfam by way of RNAcentral. Lineage: Eukaryota; Metazoa; Chordata; Mammalia; Rodentia; Sciuridae.
GGUUGUGGCUCAGUGGUAAGAGCGCAUACCUAGCAUGUGUGAGGCACUGGGUUCAAUCCUCAGCACCA